CUACGGGCGGCACCAGUGGGGAAUAUUGGACAAUGGGGGAAACCCUGAUCCAGCAAUGCCGCGUGUGUGAAGAAGGCCUGCGGGUUGUAAAGCACUUUCGGUUGGGAGGACUGCUUCUAGCACUAAUAUUGUUGGAAGUUGACGUUACCUUCAGAAGAAGCACCGGCUAACUCCGUGCCAGCAGCCGCGGUAAUACGUGAGGGUGCAAGCGUUAAUCGGAAUUACUGGGCGUAAAGCGCGCGUAGGCGGCUAGAUCAGUCGGGUGUGAAAGCCCCGGGCUUAACCUGGGAACUGCAUCCGAUAAGGUAUAGCUUGAGUACAGGAGAGGAGAGUGGAAUUCCACAUGUAGCGGUGAAAUGCGUAGAUAUGUGGAGGAACACCAAUGGCGAAGGCAGCUCUCUGGCCUGAUACUGACGCUGAGGUGCGAAAGCGUGGGGAGCAAACAGGAUUAGAUACCCUCGUAGUC
This 466-nucleotide ribosomal RNA is filed under the name uncultured bacterium. RNAcentral describes it as "partial 16S ribosomal RNA". It matches the Rfam family "Bacterial small subunit ribosomal RNA", at positions 339 to 795 of the family's 1533-position model. The record is from RNAcentral.